Paramuricea clavata is the source of this 525-nucleotide non-coding RNA. NCBI's taxonomy places the organism in Eukaryota, Metazoa, Cnidaria, Anthozoa, Malacalcyonacea, Plexauridae. The record is from the annotation of a GenBank genome assembly.
CGCUAUACUAUGCUAUACUAUACUAUAAACGGUUAUAAAAUUAUAAACAAAAUACAUAGCUAGUUACAUAUUUACGGUAUUACACAUAAUUACAUUCGUACAGAAACUUAUAACAUGCACUUCUACGAACAAGACAUAAAACAAGAACGACAUUUAGAGCAAAACGUUUUCCAAGUCCUUGGCCUAUUAACAUCAAAACAUGCAUUAAAAAAACAAACAUUAACAUGCAUUAAUAUAAUACCUAUACAAAGUUUUUAAUUGAAGAGAUAUAACUUCUUUGACACUAACCUUCAAUGGAAAGCUCAUCACUAAUGAUACGUUUAAUACUGACUCUUCGAAUGUGUCUUCUGAAUUCUCCAUACUUGCUAUAAGCGAGCUUAAGAUGUACCAAAUCUACGACGCGGACGUGACAUAAAAACCGUUGCUGAUGUUUCGAAUCCAGUUUUAUUUUGCUUCACUAGAGUGUCUCUGACUUUGUUUAUCAACUGGAGGCCAUAAUUUUUAUCCGUGUAAUGAAACUGUUGG